Molecule: long non-coding RNA, 866 nt
Filed under: Gallus gallus (chicken)
Lineage: Eukaryota; Metazoa; Chordata; Aves; Galliformes; Phasianidae
Source: RNAcentral
GCCUUGCCACACUUUUGACGGUAUUACUAAAACUUUGUCACAUGCUGCAGAAGGUUGCAUCCAUUUCCAAACCAAGAACUCAGCACCACCUAUUCUCCGUGUCUCUGUGCGAACUCGAGAUUCAUUUGCCGCUAAGAAGUCAACUGCUCUACUCCAGACUUUCCUCAUUUUCCUCCUGUCCUGAGCUGGUAUUAGAGAAUCAUGCACAUGUAGAAUAGGCAUAUAAGGCUGCAAGUCUUUAUUUUCAGAACAUGCCUCACUGUGACUUCUUAGAACAUCUAUGAUUUUUACCACCAUAUCAUACAUCUGCCUCGUUUCCUCUUCUUCUUUUGCCCAACGAUAUUUCAUGUAGUGCAAGACUCCCCAAACAAUCGCUACACCUAAAAGCGGUAUUGAUAACCUAUGAGUUACGCUAAUAAACGCACGGCGAAAACGACACCUGAAAGACAUCUUUGGACUAGUGGAUUCCAGGUACUUCACAUCCGUCACAUUAGUGACAUCCACAUCAUUAGGGUCACUGCCAAGACACUUUAUGCCAACAUCUUCCCCACUACUCAAUAUCCACUGUAGUGCUGUGUUAAAUACACUUUCAUAUUCUGGAUCUAUAUUUUUCAAAUACGCAGCUGCCUCCUGGACGGUAAGGUUUCUUUGAACAGAGCUGCCACAUUCAUGUUUCCCUGCGACUUGUGCCAAUUUAUCAUGAAGUGCAUAUAAGCUGUUCAUCAUAAGACUUCUUUCAUCUUCUUCUAUGUUUUGUAGUUCUCCACUGAAGGGAUUCUUGACUGCAAAAACUUCCACAGCACUUCUGCCAGGAGACAGAUGUUGACCCACUUCACUGUUGGCUCCCACAUCCUCAGCUACUCCAG